UACGGAGGUUCCAAGCGUUGUUCGGAAUUACUGGGCGUAAAGGGAGCGCAGGUGGGCGGUCCAGUCCAAAGUGGAAGCCCGGGGCUUAACCCCGGAAGGGCUUUGGAUACUAGCCGUCUUGAGUACGCGAGAGGAAGGCGGAAUUCAGGGUGUAGCGGUGAAAUGCUUAGAUAUCCUGAGGAACACCGGUGGCGAAAGCGGCCUUCUGGCGCGAAACUGACACUGAGGCUCGAAAGCGUGGGGAGCAAACGGGAUUAGAUACCCCGGUAGUCCACGCCGUAAACGUUGUGCACUAGGUGUGGGAGGUAUCGACCCCUUCCGUGCCGCAGCUAACGCAUUAAGUGCACCGCCUGGGGAGUACGGUCGCAAGACUGAA
This 376-nucleotide ribosomal RNA is filed under the name uncultured bacterium. RNAcentral describes it as "bacterial SSU rRNA". It matches the Rfam family "Bacterial small subunit ribosomal RNA", at positions 524 to 898 of the family's 1533-position model. The record is from RNAcentral.